Molecule: ribosomal RNA, 301 nt
Filed under: uncultured bacterium
Lineage: Bacteria
Description: partial 16S ribosomal RNA
Rfam family: Bacterial small subunit ribosomal RNA
Source: RNAcentral
CAGCAGCCGCGGGAAUACGGAGGGUGCAAGCGUUAAUCGGAAUUACUGGGCGUAAAGCGUGCGCAGGCGGUUAUAUAAGACAGAUGUGAAAUCCCCGGGCUCAACCUGGGAACUGCAUUUGUGACUGUAUAGCUAGAGUACGGCAGAGGGGGAUGGAAUUCCGCGUGUAGCAGUGAAAUGCGUAUAUAUGCGGAGGAACACCGAUGGCGAAGGCAAUCCCCUGGGCCUGUACUGACGCUCAUGCACGAAAGCGUGGGGAGCAAACAGGAUUAGAUACCCCCGUAGUCCCUGUCUCUUAUAC